AUCAAGGCAACCAAACUUUCCACCUUCAGCAAGUCGAGGGGGAUGAACCCAGGGCCAAGUGGCCAGCCCGCACGGGCAUAGCCUGAUACCAGCGAUGGUAACAUGGUAGUGUCAGUAACAACAAGAGGAAGAAGAUGUAUUCCACUUCAAUAAGUCGAAAAUCGCCGAAUUAAAAGGAAAAGUUACCGCCAAAUUAGCCGUAUCUCGUCAUAACUCGUCUCUCCAAAUUCUGAUCUCUCACUAAUAGAGAGCAGUGAUGAGGAGCCGUACAGAUCUGGAUCUCGAAUCAGAGAUGCGGUUCGUAAUUGAUGUAUUAGAAUGACAUAUUCUUUACCGUUUUCUCAUCAAACAGGACACAAAGCCAGCACACAAGCCGCUCACAAACAAAACAACAAAAUUAAAAUACAAAAGGGUUAUUAAAAAGGAUAUUCAAAAGACCAUCUUACAAUCAAUCAUCAUCAUGAUCAAGUUGUAUCGAUAAUCAAAAAUGAAACUUAAUCCGAGAAGAAUUGAAUAUAGAAUCCGAAUCGAUAACAAUCAGAGAUGAGGACGGUGGCGUCGGGAGGUAGAGAAGUCCAUUCUUCAGAGCGAUGUCAUGCAGUGGCGGGCGAUGGAAUUUGGUAUGUGGCGGAGGAAAAUAUGGAUUAAGCCUUGAAGUGAAUAGAUUACCUCAUGAAGAAGUUCAAUAGUGAAUCAAUUGAGGACCUUGCUCCAGCCGACCGACGAUGGAAGCCAUGUAUUUAGUUACAUCGGAGAAGACGAGCUUGGUGUAACUGGAAAUUGCACAUGAUUCAAACAUAUGACAUUUUUUGCCUUAUAAAUUCAAUUGCUGUGGAUUUAGGAUUUUCCAACGGACAAUAU
This 861-nucleotide long non-coding RNA is filed under the name Linum usitatissimum (flax). RNAcentral describes it as "long non-coding RNA (LUSI_LNC004051)". The record is from RNAcentral. Lineage: Eukaryota; Viridiplantae; Streptophyta; Magnoliopsida; Malpighiales; Linaceae.